GAGUCUUAUUUUUUAGCGUUGUGGUCUGAAACCCAGGUUGGUGGAAACACUGAUGCUGGGGCGGUACUGCAGGCAGGGCUCACAUCUUGUUUCUCGAAGACAGCCUGUGCCCUUUACUGGGUUUGCGGGACUCACUUGUAUUCGAGACAUUUACUUUGAAAAAAUUAGAGUGUUCAAAGCAGGCAGUUUCGCUUGAAUACAUUAGCAUGGAAUAAUGGAAUAGGACUUUGGUCUUAUUUUGUUGGUUUCUAGGACUGAAGUA
RNAcentral lists this ribosomal RNA (262 nucleotides) under uncultured fungus. Its description in RNAcentral is "partial small subunit ribosomal RNA". The stretch from base 138 to 262 matches the Rfam family "Eukaryotic small subunit ribosomal RNA", at positions 739 to 864 of the family's 1831-position model. The record is from RNAcentral. Lineage: Eukaryota; Fungi.